This is a long non-coding RNA of Mustela erminea (ermine), 3678 nucleotides long. RefSeq lists it as uncharacterized. The transcript is spliced from 3 exons. The record is from RefSeq and is a predicted model, not a curated record. NCBI's taxonomy places the organism in Eukaryota, Metazoa, Chordata, Mammalia, Carnivora, Mustelidae.
GCUGGACACAGGCAGCCGACGAGGGCGAAGAGCCGGGCCUGGGAGAGGACAGGCCCUCAGGCAGAGUGGCUGGUGAGGACGGGAGGCAGGAGGGCGGUGGGGCAGGGCCCGCAGGUGGACCGUGGAGGGGCCUCCCCUGGCUCCAGCUGGUCUGGUCAGAAAAGCCAGACGAGGUGGCCUGCACUUCUGGCAGCGGGAAUGGGGCUCGGAAGCUUCAAGACAGCUUUUCAUCCCCAGCACCUACCAACAGCUUUUCAUUUUCUAAGAUGGUUUUUACUGUCAUUACCCCCCAGAAAAGUGGUGAGUCCCUCCUUGGGUUUCUGUUCAUCUCUGGGGGUCCCCUGAUUCAUGCUUGCUUGGUGAGAGGCUGCUUAUCUGCUCUCACCGGCCCCUGAACAAAGAGAACUGGGGCCCAGUGUGCCCGCUGGGCCCCAGUGUGCCCACUGUCCACCAGGCACGGGGGACGGCUCUGUGACCCUUCUGGAAACGGAAGAGCAUCUGCCCAGUUCCCUGGCUUCUGACCGUCCACCAGCCCUGUACCGUCUUCCCCCGCGGAAGGUGCUCUCAAAUAUUCCUUCCAAGACAGUCCUAGUGUCUUCUAGGGUCCCUCAGUCUUGAGUUCCAGCUUUCAUGAUCAGGCCCAGGCCUCACUCUUUUCCCGGACCCCACGUUUCCAGACACAUUGGGACUAGCGGCUGGCCGGGCGUCUCUUGGAUGGAGACGCUGAAGACUCCUCGGCUGAUCUGAGAAACGUGAGAACAGGGCUGGGAAAAUCGGCCGUUUUUGUGGUUUGGGGGUUUGAAGCAAGUUUCACAACUGAUCUCCCAAGAACAUGGUCCAGUCAGAUGCGCUCCCCGCGCGGGGGCCCGGUUCCCCGCUGGCUCCGGUGCUGACCGCUCUUCUUUGCCGGGUCCAGAGGGGAGGGCUGAGGCAGAGGUGAGGGCCUUUACCCGCCCACCCCACCUGCUCCCUGCUUUCCUUCUCUGGGGGAUGAACUCAAGGAGCUCGAAGAUGAGACUUUGGGGGGGGUUCUUGGGGUUUCUGCCUCAGGCUGUGGCAUCCGAUGAGGUGUCCACUUGGCCCCUCUCACUCCCAUUCUGGAAAUGUUUCAGGGAUGCUCCUGGGGCAGCUGUCCCCUUAAAGCCUUCCUUUGUGGGGACAAAAAGGCCCAAAACUACUUCUACUGCCAUACUCUUGGGCUGGAACUGACUAGCAGUGGUACCUAGAGGGACUUAUUGUGGGGGUUCAGGGAGAGAGGAGGGACCCAAGGGGGACACACCCGCCCACCACGGAUCCCUAGAACUUCCGAUGCCUCUCCCGCAGAUAACACCCAGCUGGGCUGGGGAAGGGGUCCUCCAAGCCCAGCCCUGCCUCCGCGUGGCCUGGCCCCCCAGCUCGUCCUUCCACCCUGGGAAGUCCCAAGCACCCUCAGGCCAGCUGGGGCAGAACUGAAAUUGGUGACAUCUGUCUCUUUGGCCCCUUGGCUCCGGCCCCCGCCCACUCACCCCAGAGUCAUCCUGCAGGAGCCUCCAGACCUGGGAGGAACAGCAUGCUAUGUCCUCCCGGGGUGAGCCCCGCUUUCUUGCCUUCCAUACCCCCACCCGCUCUGGCCCGGCUGGUGAGAUCCUCACCCGCCAUCUCUCUGGUCAGGGGUUUGGUGGGCGGGGGUCCUGCGUGUCCCUCAGACCCUCCGUUUCCCACCCCACAUAGCAGAGGGGGGACAUUCCCGCUCCAGGGGGCAGGGUGAGGCAAGGGGACAGAGCCCAGCUUCCUUCCUCUGCUGAGGGCGCUGGGACCGUCCUGUGUGCAGUGACCUAGCAAGGGUGGAACUGGGGACGGAGCCGCUGGGAAAACAGAGCCGGGGCUCGGAGUCACCCGACUCACGGCCAGGGAGACAGACAGUCGCGUGCUCAGUCAGGGGAGUGGUCCGGUGAUCACACGGACGUGGUGGGUGGAGGAGAGUCGGGCCGGCUCUGCAGGGAGGGAGUCCUCCAGGCAACACUCAGGGGCCAGGGAGAGGUGUGGGGCCAGAGACACACACGUGGGUGUUCGGGAAGUUUCCAGCGGUGGCACGGAGCCCCCUCAGCAGAACCAGAUGCGCGUGGACAGUCGAACACGGGGCGGUGGACAAUUAGCCAGCAUCUGAGAAAGCCUUCAUGAGUCUGCCCUUCAGGGGGAUGAAACUACGCAUGGACGAGGAUGGCCGUGCGGGGGUCAGGCAGGGAUGCCCAGACACGGCUGGGCAGGCCGGGCCCAGGCAGGCUAGGGUUUUCUGGGUACAUCUGCUGGGUGCUCGUGUCCCCCUUCCCGUUCCCUAUCCAUAUACCCCCUCCCAGCUUCCUGUUUCUGUUUUGGGGCCACAGGAACUUCCUCUUCUCAUCAUGGUUCAAAAUGGCUUGCUGGUCUCAGUUGGAGGCCCAGUGGCGGCAGGGCGGGGGGGGCUGGUCACCCCAGCCCAACAGCCAGCUGGAGAGGGAGGGAGAGAGGGGCUCUGUAUCCCCGGAUGUGGUGGGCCCACGGAGGUGUGAGCUGGCCCCUCCCACAGUUCUCCCUGAACAAACUUUGCUGGUUCGUUGGAUGCAGCUUCCGGCGUGAGUGCUCUCAGGGCCAAGGUGGGCUGGGUCCUGCUGGACUGACCUUGAGCAGCCCCCGUGCCCCCUUCCUGCCUCAGACGGAAGGCCAGGAGGAUCUCUCGCUCUCCCUGUCUUCCUGCUUCCUCUCAGGCGUACUAGAACUUGACAGAGUUGCUCGUGGGCUGCAAGGCAUUGGCCCAGGGUGUGGACGCAGCAUGGCCCCACCGGGAGCAGAGCUGCAGGGCCGGCCUGGCCCAGGGAGUGCCUGGGUGCGUGCAUGCCCCAGUGAGCGUGUGGGAUCCUGUGGAACGUGCAUGUGUGUGUAAGUGUGCAGGUCUCCCUGGGUGAGCGUGCUUUCCUGCGUGUCUAGAGGGCACCACCUCUCUCCUCUUAACCAGCACCCUGCGCAGAGUUUGCCCUUUAAAUGAAGGUAAGCUGUGUCUCAAGAGCCCCUGAGCCCGCCCUCAAGGGAGGGGGCUACCCUGACCCUGCUGACUCCUUAGGGGUGCCUCAGGUGGGUGUGGGGCCCAGCCUUGCACAGGGCCCAGGGUGUGGGAGGCAGGAUAUGCUGGCGUGUGCCAGGGAGGGUACACAGGGCAGUCCUCCAACGUGCCGCCUUGGAACCACCAUGAUCCCCGAGGGAUGUAAGGCCAGUAAAAAGGGCCGCUGCAUGCAGGCCUGGACACCUCCUAGACACCCCUGGGUGGUGUGGGGAUAGGGCAUGGGGGCACACGUGGGCAGGGCUGCUGAGAACCUCAAUUCACGCCACCUCACUGCUCACCCAGUAGGACCAGGAUGGACCCGAGGAUCCAGAUGCUUCUUCCCAGGGGCUGUGGCCAGGGUCAAGGUCCUGGGGAUCUGGAUAGCCCCCUGCCUGGCAGGAGAAAGGGCUCAGUUCCUACUUACCUGUGAAGGACGAGUGAGCUAGAAGAGGACAGCUGCCUCACCCAGAGACAGCCCGCAACCCCCGGAAUCCUCACCCCCAUUCUCCGAGGGCUCUUCGCCCCACUCUCUGUGGCUCAGGCACUGUUGUGACCAUCACCUGCCAUCUCGGGGCACAAGCAUCCAGACGGUCUAUAAACAACCAGGCGUGGCAGCCUUCCAA